This 253-nucleotide ribosomal RNA is filed under the name uncultured bacterium. Its description in RNAcentral is "partial 16S ribosomal RNA". It matches the Rfam family "Archaeal small subunit ribosomal RNA", at positions 474 to 727 of the family's 1478-position model. The record is from RNAcentral.
AACCAGCACCUCAAGUGGUCAGGAUGAUUAUUGGGCCUAAAGCAUCCGUAGCUUGCUUUGUAAGUUCUCGGUUAAAUCCAUACGCUUAACGUAUGGGCUGCCGGCAAUACUGCAAAGCUAGGGAGUGGGAGAGGUAGACGGUACUCGGUAGGAAGGGGUAAAAUCCUUUGAUCUAUUGAUGACCACCUGUGGCGAAGGCGGUCUACCAGAACACGUCCGACGGUGAGGGAUGAAAGCUGGGGGAGCAAACCGG